RNAcentral lists this unclassified non-coding RNA (24 nucleotides) under Mus musculus (house mouse). RNAcentral's name for it is "oocyte_clustered_small_RNA7423". Lineage: Eukaryota; Metazoa; Chordata; Mammalia; Rodentia; Muridae. The record is from RNAcentral.
UAUUCCAUUUGUCUACCUGUCUGU